Potamilus streckersoni is the source of this 78-nucleotide non-coding RNA. The record is from the annotation of a GenBank genome assembly. Lineage: Eukaryota; Metazoa; Mollusca; Bivalvia; Unionida; Unionidae.
GACCGUUUCGAUGGCUUAAGUGGUUGAAGCGUCCGCCUCAGACGCGAGAGGUCGCGGGAUUGAACCCCGGCCGAGUUA